AUCUACUGCCAUACCACCCUGAACUCACUCAAUCUCUUCUGAUUUCUAAGUUAAGCAGAAUCAAGCCUGGAAAUACCAGUGCUUUAGGAAAAAAAAUGAGAGGCAGCUAGGUGGCUCAGUGGAAA
This 125-nucleotide ribosomal RNA is filed under the name Notamacropus eugenii (tammar wallaby). Lineage: Eukaryota; Metazoa; Chordata; Mammalia; Diprotodontia; Macropodidae. The record is from RNAcentral.